Molecule: long non-coding RNA, 220 nt
Organism: Sinocyclocheilus anshuiensis
Lineage: Eukaryota; Metazoa; Chordata; Actinopteri; Cypriniformes; Cyprinidae
Exons: 2
Source: RefSeq, a predicted model, not a curated record
CUCAGGGCGACCAGCGGUGUGUUUAUGUCUUUGUUUUGCGAAAACGGUGAGUACCUGGACGACAGGAGCUACGGAUGGGAAAGUGCUAUAGUGCAGCUGUCGGAACCUGUUUGGGGGGAACUUAGUCAACGAGCUCGAAGCCUGGAGCCUCAGUGGCCGUACCCUUUUCAUGUCAGAGACAAAGUACUCUUGCAGUCGUUUAUGUCAUUCCCUCCUCUUC